RNAcentral lists this ribosomal RNA (255 nucleotides) under uncultured bacterium. RNAcentral describes it as "partial 16S ribosomal RNA". It matches the Rfam family "Bacterial small subunit ribosomal RNA", at positions 524 to 777 of the family's 1533-position model. The record is from RNAcentral.
UACGGAGGGUGCAAGCGUUUGUCCGGAAUCACUGGGCGUAAAGGGCGCGUAGGCGGCUCAUGAAGGCUGUGGUGAAAGUCCGGGGCUCAACCUCGGAUCGGCCGUGGCGACUCGUGGGCUGGAGCACUGUAGAGGCGGGUGGAAUUCCGGGUGUAGCGGUGGAAUGCGUAGAGAUCCGGAAGAACACCAGUGGCGAAGGCGGCCCGCUGGGCAGUGGCUGACGCUGAGGCGCGAAAGCUAGGGGAGCAAACGGGG